CAUGCAAAGUGGUGCACCUCCAACUGGCUAGUUAUAACUCAUCUCCAUGGCUUUUUAUUUGCAGAUGGUUUGUGAAUGAACAGGUCAAUCCACACACAACUCAACCAACUGCAUUUCUUGGAUGCUGCUGUGAGGUGUGCUGCAGACUGUGGCAGAAGAAACACAGAAUAACUAAGCCUGACCUCAGCUUUGGAAUAAUUGGAAAUCAUCCUUUCACUCUGUGCGUUUUACUGUAUUUAGUACAGUUUUGUUUAUCAUGCAGUUCUGACACGUUUCCUUACCAUGUCCUAAUUUAUAUUUAACUUAUGUAAUGCAUUUUGAAAAGGGAUUUAUUUAUUUAUUUUCCUGUAGACCAUUAAAAAUAGUGUGAAGGCUCUCUCAAUUUUAUUUAAAUCAGACCAUUCUGUUUGAGUGGCUGUGGCUAACCAAAGCAUACCUAUACCACACUGGAUGUGUUUCUUCCUGUUGAUGUAAACAGACUGGAAUCUCUUUUUAAGUCAAAUGCUGACGUAUUUCCUGGAAUAUAUGUAGUACUGUGGAAAUGUGUUAGAAAAACUAAUACUAUUAAAUACUACUCACUAGGCUUAUUAUUUGUUACUGUCAUAUAGCAUCUCUAUGAGCUUGACAAAUUGGCUGUAAACUUCUUUUUUCUGUUUUCUGUAGGGUUUCUAAGCUGCAAAAUUUUCAUGCUGCUGUGUUGUGACACAGUUUAGGACAGUGUUGUCUCCAGCAUUUCUUCUGUGAUUUUUGACUUGUUAUAAACUAAGGAAAGGAAUCCUUCCCUCAAACCUUGCUUAAAUUUGAAGCAAUAUGUGAAUUUGAAUGUGCUUUCUCAUCAAAAUGUUCAGGUCACUGGGCUAGAGGUUAUCAACUCUGUUUCUCCUUAAGUCACUCCUAUCUGGUGUGUUUCUAUUUUGCAUGGAAUACUAUAACAUUCAUUAAAACAGAUAGUGUGAGAUCUGGUUAACAUUUUAGCCCACUGGUCAGGGUACUUGGGUUCUGGCCCAUGAUCUAGAAAAUGUUGAAUUAUUUAAGCUAAAGGAACAUCCUCCAGAAGAAAUACCAAAGAUGCCUCCUAAAGUUGCUUUGUGGCUUGUAAAUCUGGAGUUACCCAGGCAUCUUUGUGUUUACAUUUUGUAUGGCAACUAUAUGUGUUCUUUUCCCCGGAAAACCAAGUUUCUAGAACUGCAGAUUUCCAGAAAUUGAAUCACAAUUACUGAAGAUUUUUAAUCUUGAUCUAAGAGAAGGAAAGACUCAUGCUGGUUGUGCUUACUCAGUCUCAGUUACACAAGUGUACUCUGU
This 1302-nucleotide long non-coding RNA is filed under the name Coturnix japonica (Japanese quail). RNAcentral describes it as "lncRNA (ENSCJPG00005018395.1)". The record is from RNAcentral. Lineage: Eukaryota; Metazoa; Chordata; Aves; Galliformes; Phasianidae.